AAUAAUCUGCCUGCAAUGCAGGAGACCCAGGUUCGGAACCCUGAGUCGGGAAGAUCCCCUGGAGAAGGGCAUGGCAACCCACUGUAAUAUUCUUGCCUGGAGAAUCCCGUGGACGGAGGAGCCUGGCGGGCUACAGUCCCUAGGAUCGCAAGAGUCGGACACAACUAAGGGACUAACCCUUAAAAAGGUUAUCAACAGCCAAAGGGAGACCGAACGAGGCCGGGUAUUCCGGUCCUGCUGUUCAUCUUGCUACCACGUGGUAGCGCUGUUGAAGACAGUCCAGUGGAAUAUAACAAGAGCGGCAGGCGAGCUGCGGAGUCCGUAGGAGCGAUUGCCCUCGUCCUCCGAGGAAGACUAGCAGUCGCCGAAAGGAAUUGCAUACUCUGGCCCCUGAAGUUUUCAAUUUAUAGUACUUGCUCUUUCAGAUGAAAUGUCCAUUUACAUUUCAAGGAACAAGCCAGCACCAUUUGCACUGUGGCUCUGGUGUCUGACUCUUCAGACCCAAACCUGUAUCCCUUCCCCUUGGCGAUGGAAAAGCUGGAGAAUUCACCUAAAGCUGGAUCAAGUAAAUGGAACAUCUAGACGUAGGGUUGGUGUCUUCACAGACCACAUUCUUACCACAUGCAGCAGGAGGCAGGCUGUUGUUUCUACAAUGACUGGACAAAAAUACUGAGUCUUGUGCCAGUUGAACGAGAACAGCUUUGCAGCUGGUUCUCAGAUGACGCCAGUGGUACAGGACUGACUGAGGAACACCCUUUGAGAACCCCUGCUCUGGGUCUUUGCCAUCUUCUGGAGAACUGAGAGCACAGUCAUUCAAAUCAUUUCCUGUGUUGGGAAGUUAAAAGAGGGACCUGGUUGAUGAAAGCUGUUAUGGUCUAGGGGUCAGAAAACUAUGGGCCAGAGACCAAAUCCGCCUACCAUGUGCUUUUGCAAAUAAAGUUGUUUUGGAACA
Long non-coding RNA from Bos taurus (domestic cattle), 952 nucleotides. The record is from Ensembl. NCBI's taxonomy places the organism in Eukaryota, Metazoa, Chordata, Mammalia, Artiodactyla, Bovidae.